This 500-nucleotide ribosomal RNA is filed under the name uncultured bacterium. RNAcentral describes it as "bacterial SSU rRNA". It matches the Rfam family "Bacterial small subunit ribosomal RNA", at positions 79 to 597 of the family's 1533-position model. The record is from RNAcentral.
AUUUUAAACUGACUGAGCGGCGGACGGGUGAGUAACGCGUGGAUAACCUGCCUCACACAGGGGGAUAACAGUUAGAAAUGACUGCUAAUACCGCAUAAGCGCACGGCAUCGCAUGAUGCAGUGUGAAAAACUCCGGUGGUGUGAGAUGGAUCCGCGUCUGAUUAGGUAGUUGGUGGGGUAACGGCCCACCAAGCCGACGAUCAGUAGCCGACCUGAGAGGGUGACCGGCCACAUUGGGACUGAGACACGGCCCAAACUCCUACGGGAGGCAGCAGUGGGGAAUAUUGCACAAUGGGCGAAAGCCUGAUGCAGCGACGCCGCGUGAGUGAAGAAGUAUCUCGGUAUGUAAAGCUCUAUCAGCAGGGAAGAAAAUGACGGUACCUGACUAAGAAGCCCCGGCUAACUACGUGCCAGCAGCCGCGGUAAUACGUAGGGGGCAAGCGUUAUCCGGAUUUACUGGGUGUAAAGGGAGCGCAGACGGCGAUGCAAGUCUGGAGUGA